Molecule: non-coding RNA, 775 nt
Organism: Coturnix japonica (Japanese quail)
Lineage: Eukaryota; Metazoa; Chordata; Aves; Galliformes; Phasianidae
Source: RefSeq, a predicted model, not a curated record
UAUUUAUUUUUCUUGGCAAAGCAUUCACUUUGGGGCAGAGUAGAGCAAUUCAUUUGGCUUUCUUUUAAUGCAGAUAGUGACAAGGUUUACUCCCUUGGACAAUCUUUGCAGAUCCUGCACGAGUCCUUUGUGCUCUGUCCUCUCUCCUCCGCACCACCCCCAGCCCCCAGCCUAUUUUAUUCCAUAGGGACUGAGGGGAACAACACACCCUGUGCCCUCAGCGCUACCUCACAAUGACAUCUGCUGGUGGCAUCGCCCUGAGAGUAGCAUAGCUCCUCUGGCCCUCAGCUGUGUCCUUGUGAUGCCUACCAAAUGUUCCAAAUAUAUAUUACAAACAAAUAGGCAUUAAGAGGAUCAUUUCUGGUUCAAGUACAAAACCAUGACCGAGAGACAGUUCUGUUGGCCCGGGAGGAAAUGGGGAGAGACAUUUCAGAGAAAUGGGUCCGGCUGGCUCCUGCUAAAUAUCACAAAGCAAUUAUAUCACAGAAUACAAGGACAUUCUUCAGCCGUUGUCCAGGUGCUCUGACAAUGCCUUUAGAGGCUUACAGACAUUUUUAUUUACCAGUUAAAUAAUUUACUAUACCUCGAUAUUGAAAAAACGUAUGUGGAACAAAUUACGAUAUCCAUAAAAUGGUGACGGUCGCUUCCCUUUAUUUCUUUUUUAAUCAAAAGUGACCCCUCAUUACAUGACACAGUUGCUAACAUAGUGUUUAUUUCCAUCCACUUGAGACAGUUAAAUGUAUAGGUGAAAUAUUAAAAAACUUUACAAAUGAAA